GACGAACGCUGGCGGCGUGCUUAACACAUGCAAGUCGAACGGAAAGGCCCUGCUUUUGUGGGGUGCUCGAGUGGCGAACGGGUGAGUAACACGUGAGUAACCUGCCCUUGACUUUGGGAUAACUUCAGGAAACUGGGGCUAACACCGGAUAGGAGCUCCUGCUGCAUGGUGGGGGUUGGAAAGUUUCGGCGGUUGGAGAUGGACUCGCGGCUUAUCAGCUUGUUGGUGGGGUAGUGGCUUACCAAGGCUUUGACGGGUAGCCGGCCUGAGAGGGUGACCGGCCACAUUGGGACUGAGAUACGGCCCAGACUCCUACGGGAGGCAGCAGUGGGGAAUAUUGCACAAUGGGCGGAAGCCUGAUGCAGCAACGCCGCGUGCGGGAUGACGGCCUUCGGGUUGUAAACCGCUUUCGCCUGUGACGAAGCGUGAGUGACGGUAAUGGGUAAAGAAGCACCGGCUAACUACGUG
Molecule: ribosomal RNA, 468 nt
Filed under: uncultured bacterium
Lineage: Bacteria
Description: partial 16S ribosomal RNA
Rfam family: Bacterial small subunit ribosomal RNA
Source: RNAcentral